RNAcentral lists this ribosomal RNA (488 nucleotides) under uncultured bacterium. RNAcentral describes it as "bacterial SSU rRNA". It matches the Rfam family "Bacterial small subunit ribosomal RNA", at positions 28 to 516 of the family's 1533-position model. The record is from RNAcentral.
GAUGAACGCUGGCGGCGUGCUUAACACAUGCAAGUCGAACGAAGCACUUAAUGAGAUUUCUUCGGAUUGAUUAUUUUGUGACUGAGUGGCGGACGGGUGAGUAACGCGUGGGUAACCUGCCCCAGACCGGGGGAUAACAGUCGGAAACGACUGCUAAUACCGCAUAAGCGCACAGUGCCGCAUGGCACGGUGUGAAAAACUCCGGUGGUCUGGGAUGGACCCGCGUCCGAUUAGUUAGUUGGCGGGGUAACGGCCCACCAAGACCGCGAUCGGUAGCCGACCUGAGAGGGUGACCGGCCACAUUGGGACUGAGACACGGCCCAGACUCCUACGGGAGGCAGCAGUGGGGAAUAUUGCACAAUGGAGGAAACUCUGAUGCAGCGACGCCGCGUGAGCGAAGAAGUAUUUCGGUAUGUAAAGCUCUGUCAGCAGGGAAGAUAAUGACGGUACCUGACCAAGAAGCCCCGGCUAACUACGUGCCAGCAGCC